CCUGCUGAGCACACCUUUUGCCCAUACAACUGUAUACAAUACAACUGUAUUGAGAUCCCUGACUCUUGGUGGCGCUGUCACUUGGUGUUCGCUCGCUUUGUGUGGAUCAGCUGUUGCUGGCCAGAGCUGAAGGUGACUUGCUGGCUGGGCCAACGGCUGCAACACAGGACAUGGGUCCUGCCUCUCCUCCCCGCUCGUGUCUUGUGUUGCAGCCAGUGGAGCUGCCUGUCUGCCCGCUGAUGACGGCGUGAGCUCCAGGAGUGGACGGAUCCUAUCAACCGUGGACCUGCCGACACAGCUCCCCAUCUUACAGCUAGCUUGAGCCUAAUCACUGUCAUUCUGUGUCGUUAUCCCAUAUCUAAAUAUGUCCUCUCCCACAGUUUAAAGCAAAUAAACUACUUCAGCAAAAACGUUCCUCGUUGUGUUUGUAAUGAUAACAGUGGAGUGUUU
This is a long non-coding RNA of Oreochromis aureus, 450 nucleotides long. The record is from Ensembl. Lineage: Eukaryota; Metazoa; Chordata; Actinopteri; Cichliformes; Cichlidae.